RNAcentral lists this ribosomal RNA (253 nucleotides) under uncultured bacterium. RNAcentral describes it as "partial 16S ribosomal RNA". It matches the Rfam family "Bacterial small subunit ribosomal RNA", at positions 524 to 776 of the family's 1533-position model. The record is from RNAcentral.
GACAGAGGCCCCGAGCGUUAGGCGGAAUCACUGGGCUUAAAGCGUGUGUAGGCGGAUCGUUAAGUACCUUGUGAAAUCCCACGGCUCAACCGUGGAACUGCUGGGUAUACUGGCGAUCUUGGGCCAUUCAGGGGCGACUGGAACAAGCGGUGGAGCGGUGAAAUGCGUAGAUAUCGCUUGGAACGCCGAAGGUGAAAACAGGUCGCUGGGGAUGUGCCGACGCUGAGACACGAAAGCCAGGGGAGCAAACGGG